GAUGAACGCUGGCGGCGUGCCUAAUACAUGCAAGUCGAGCGAACGGACGAGAAGCUUGCUUCUCUGAUGUUAGCGGCGGACGGGUGAGUAACACGUUGAUAACCUACCUAUAAGACUGUGAUAACUUCGGGAAACCGGAGCUAAUACCGGAUAAUAUUUUGAACCGCAUGGUUCAAAAGUGAAAGACGGUCUUGCUGUCACUUAUAGAUGGAUCCGCGCUGCAUUAGCUAGUUGGUAAGGUAACGGCUUACCAAAGCAACGAUGCAUAGCCGACCUGAGAGGGUGAUCGGCCACACUGGAACUGAGACACGGUCCAGACUCCUACGGGAGGCAGCAGUAGGGAAUCUUCCGCAAUGGGCGAAAGCCUGACGGAGCAACGCCGCGUGAGUGAUGAAGGUCUUCGGAUCGUAAAACUCUGUUAUUAGGGAAGAACAUAUGUGUAAGUAACUGUGCACAUCUUGACGGUACCUAAUCAGAAAGCCACGGCUAACUACGUG
Molecule: ribosomal RNA, 497 nt
Filed under: uncultured bacterium
Lineage: Bacteria
Description: partial 16S ribosomal RNA
Rfam family: Bacterial small subunit ribosomal RNA
Source: RNAcentral